Molecule: ribosomal RNA, 800 nt
Filed under: uncultured soil bacterium
Lineage: Bacteria
Description: partial 16S ribosomal RNA
Rfam family: Bacterial small subunit ribosomal RNA
Source: RNAcentral
GGCCGCGAAUUCGCCCUUAGAGUUUGAUCCUGGCUCAGAAUUAAUGAUGGCGGCGCGCUUAACACAUGCAAGUCGGACGAGAAAGUGAGCAAUCCAUGAGUAAAGUGGCGUACGGGUGAGUAACACGUGGGUAAUCUACCUUUUGGUGGGGAAUAACCCUGGGAAACCGGGGCUAAUACCGCAUAAGCUCGAAAGAGGAAAGGAGCAAUUCGCCGAAAGAGGAGCCCGCGGCUGAUUAGCUAGUUGGUGAGGUAAAGGCUCACCAAGGCGAUGAUCGGUAGCCGGCCUGAGAGGGCACACGGCCACACUGGCACUGAAACACGGGCCAGACUCCUACGGGAGGCAGCAGUGGGGAAUCUUGCACAAUGGGGGAAACCCUGAUGCAGCGACGCCGCGUGAGUGAUGAAGCCCUUCGGGGUGUAAAGCUCUUUCGGCAGGGACGAUAAUGACGGUACCUGAAGAAGAAGCUGCGGCUAACUACGUGCCAGCAGCCGCGGUAAUACGUAGGCAGCGAGCGUUGUUCGGAGUUACUGGGCGUAAAGAGUGCGUAGGCGGUUUUCUAAGUUUGGUGUGAAAUCUCCCGGCUUAACUGGGAGGGUGCGCCGAAGACUGGAAGGCUAGAGUAUGGGAGAGGUAAGCGGAAUUCCUGGUGUAGCGGUGAAAUGCGUAGAUAUCAGGAGGAACACCUGCGGUGUAGACGGCUUACUGGACCAUAACUGACGCUGAGGCACGAAAGCGUGGGUAGCAAACAGGAUUAGAUACCCUGGUAGUCCACGCCCUAAACGAUGCAUACUUGGUGU